Molecule: ribosomal RNA, 382 nt
Filed under: uncultured eukaryote
Lineage: Eukaryota
Description: SSU rRNA
Rfam family: Eukaryotic small subunit ribosomal RNA
Source: RNAcentral
AGCUCCAAUAGCGUAUAUUAAAGUUGUUGCAGUUAAAAAGCUCGUAGUUGAAUUUUGGACCUGGCUGGGUGGUCUUGCCGCAAGGUAAGCACUGCCUCUGGUCGGGUCUUUCCUUCUGGGGAACCUGUGUGCCCUUAAUUGAGUGCGCAGGGGAUCCAGGACUUUUACUUUGAAAAAAUUAGAGUGUUUAAAGCAGGCUUUCGCUUGAAUACAUUAGCAUGGAAUAAUAGAAUAGGACUUUGGUUCUAUUUUGUUGGUUUCUAGGACCGAAGUAAUGAUUAAUAGGGAUAGUUGGGGGCAUUAGUAUUUAAUUGUCAGAGGUGAAAUUCUUGGAUUUAUGAAAGACUAACUUCUGCGAAAGCAUUUGCCAAGGAUGUUUUCA